This 433-nucleotide ribosomal RNA is filed under the name uncultured bacterium. RNAcentral describes it as "partial 16S ribosomal RNA". It matches the Rfam family "Bacterial small subunit ribosomal RNA", at positions 29 to 507 of the family's 1533-position model. The record is from RNAcentral.
AACGAACGCUGGCGGCAUGCCUAACACAUGCAAGUCGAACGAGACCUUCGGGUCUAGUGGCGCACGGGUGCGUAACGCGUGGGAAUCUGCCCUUGGGUUCGGAAUAACAGUUGGAAACGACUGCUAAUACCGGAUGAUGACGUAAGUCCAAAGAUUUAUCGCCCAAGGAUGAGCCCGCGUAGGAUUAGCUAGUUGGUGAGGUAAAGGCUCACCAAGGCGACGAUCCUUAGCUGGUCUGAGAGGAUGAUCAGCCACACUGGGACUGAGACACGGCCCAGACUCCUACGGGAGGCAGCAGUGGGGAAUAUUGGACAAUGGGCGAAAGCCUGAUCCAGCAAUGCCGCGUGAGUGAUGAAGGCCUUAGGGCUGUAAAGCUCUUUUACCCGGGAUGAUAAUGACAGUACCGGGAGAAUAAGCGCCGGCUAACUCCGUG